Molecule: ribosomal RNA, 497 nt
Filed under: uncultured bacterium
Lineage: Bacteria
Description: partial 16S ribosomal RNA
Rfam family: Bacterial small subunit ribosomal RNA
Source: RNAcentral
GAUGAACGCUGGCGGCGUGCCUAAUACAUGCAAGUCGAGCGAACAGACGAGGAGCUUGCUCCUCUGACGUUAGCGGCGGACGGGUGAGUAACACGUGGAUAACCUACCUAUAAGACUGGGAUAACUUCGGGAAACCGGAGCUAAUACCGGAUACUAUAUUGAACCGCAUGGUUCAAUAGUGAAAGACGGUUUUGCUGUCACUUAUAGAUGGAUCCGCGCCGCAUUAGCUAGUUGGUAAGGUAACGGCUUACCAAGGCAACGAUGCGUAGCCGACCUGAGAGGGUGAUCGGCCACACUGGAACUGAGACACGGUCCAGACUACUACGGGAGGCAGCAGUAGGGAAUCUUCCGCAAUGGGCGAAAGCCUGACGGAGCAACGCCGCGUGAGUGAUGAAGGUCUUCGGAUCGUAAAACUCUGUUAUUAGGGAAGAACAAAUGUGUAAGUAACUAUGCACGUCUUGACGGUACCUAAUCAGAAAGCCACGGCUAACUACGUG